RNAcentral lists this transfer RNA (77 nucleotides) under Treponema vincentii ATCC 35580. RNAcentral's name for it is "tRNA-Arg". It matches the Rfam family "tRNA". From Rfam's summary of the family: Transfer RNA (tRNA) molecules are approximately 80 nucleotides in length. Lineage: Bacteria; Pseudomonadati; Spirochaetota; Spirochaetia; Treponematales; Treponemataceae. The record is from RNAcentral.
GAGAUCGUAGCUCAUUUGGAUAGAGCAACUGCCUUCUAAGCAGUAGGUGGCGGGUUCGAAUCCCGCCGGUCUCAUUU